This is a long non-coding RNA of Temnothorax curvispinosus, 5000 nucleotides long. RefSeq lists it as uncharacterized. The record is from RefSeq and is a predicted model, not a curated record. The transcript is spliced from 2 exons. NCBI's taxonomy places the organism in Eukaryota, Metazoa, Arthropoda, Insecta, Hymenoptera, Formicidae.
CAAAAUUGCAAAUGUAAAAAUUAAUAUUAUUAUUCGCUUCCUUUCAUUGUUCAAUUUAAAAAAUUUAAAGUGAUCCUAACUUGACCUUACGGGCGCUACCUAAGAUCAAACUAAUAAGGUCAGUAAAUAAAUCUUUUUAAACCCUACAACUUUUGUCUAAAACAGUUUUUUCUAAAAUGCAUUGUUUACGAGAAAUUCGACUGUACCCCCAGACUUUUGGCUUACUCUGUGUAUGUAUUGUGUAUCGUCUUGCCUUUGAAAACAGAGUUAUCUCACGCAUAUAUCGUCAAGCGUGGCGCGAUCUCGUCGAUCUUAUUAAUCGUAAGUAGAACAAUUAGCGAACAAAGAAAGAGAGGGAACGAGAGUAAUUAGCCGAACUGGGGUACUCUAAAUAGAUCGUAGCGAAUUUUUUACACCCCCGUGUCGGUAACGCGAUGAUACUCGUCUACUCUUUGUCAUUCCCCCUCCCUCCUUCUCACCGUAUAUGGGAAGUGUACGGACACGAGAGCUAAGAAUAUUCUCGCUAAAUGUGAUAGUAGAGUGAGUCUAUCUUCCGGCAGACGUAGAAGCAAUAAAAAGCGAGCCGAAGGCAGCGAGCCGAGGAUUAAAGCGACUGCUUUACCCGUACGCUCAUCCUUCACCAACUCGUUUCUUCACCCCCGAAGAAAAAAAAAGAAGGAUCCCUUAUUCGCCGAAAAGAUGCGUUCGAAGAAUCGAGGAGGCGACUAUUACUUCCUCACAAUCACUACCCCCUCGUAUGAUUUUUCGGUGGUGUACCCGGAAAAAUAAACGAAAGUAUAUAUACACCACCCGUUUGACCCGUUCCUUUUCGGAACCCCGUGCUCAACGACGCUUUCUAACUGCUUUCUUCGUGCGUUCACCCUCAGUCCCCCGCCUUCCGAAACCCAUUCCUCGAUGUUGUAACGAUCGAUUCGAUAUAUCCCGAGUGCCUUAAUCCGAACUCUAUCCCCAUCUUGCUCUCCACGUGUAACGAAAGAAAAGAUACGGCAGGAAAAGCCCUGGGACGCCCGCGAUUUAGACGCAUAUUAAUUUCUAUAGGCAGUAGAAUUGAGUGUCGAUUGCUAGAGAGAACGCGAGAACAAGGCUGGCGCACCGAGAGGACUGUUGCGAGGGACGGUGCACAUGGCGGAACCAGGAGGCUGCGAGACCGACGAAGACGUAUUGUCGCAACACGACAAUAAAGCGAGAAAAAAAAAAGAGAGCACCGGAAACGAUCGUGCAUCGUACAACACGACAGCGUGCACCAGGACUGCUCUUUUACUUUUCGAGUGACUUUUUCGAAAUGGGACCCACGCGUUUUUCAUAGCGCUUUUUUAAAGCCGGACACGCGCGUCGUGGCGGCGUCUUGUUCUUCCAAUACGUAUAUAUUAUAUACACACAUAUACAGGUACACACAAACAUUGACACAUAUACAUUACGUAGACACGCAAUUAUAUUUAUAAAAACAAAUAUAUAUAUAUAUAUAUAUAUAUAAAUUAUUGAUAUAUAUUACAAAAAAUCAAUCUAUAUACAUAUAUCUACUUUUAUGCGUAUAUAACGGUUGUACGAUUAAUAAAGGCGAAAAAGCCGAGCGUGCGCUAGAACAUACAUAUAGAUUUGACGAAGGGACGUUCAGUUUCUCGAUUUUUUCAUACAGAAGAAGAAAUUGUCACGGAAUUGUUUUGUUACGCGACGCUUUGCCAACGAGCCGACAUUGUGCCGCUUUGUUCGUUUCAUACAAUUAUCUCGGUGACAGCAAAUAACUCCAUGUAUUAAUGAAUUAAUAAGAGGAAUCCAAAGAUAUUUCAGAAUUUGCAGAAGCGUGCAUAUUUUAUUCGGCGUUUUUUCUUUAUUGUUGGUGUUCUUUAAGAAACACUAUAUAUUGUUGUGUAUAUUUGAAUAUCCUUUUCACAAGACGAUUAUUCAUUUCCUGAGAUAAGUGAAUCUUUUUCUUUUAAACGAUCCAUCAAUCGAUUUAAAUUAGCAAUUUGCUGAUAUUAUGCAAGACGUAUCUUAAUAAUAUAAAUGAAGAUAAUUAUCUAUUAAAGGCGUGAACUUGUGUGACAAUUAAUACAUUGACGGUCGCAAGUAUCCAUGAAUAUUUAUAUAAUUGAAUAUUUACAAUUUUCGCAUAUCGAUACAUAUUGGAAAACGGGCGCAGAUUUUAGAGUAAAAUAGAUUUUAAUUAACGAGAUAAAAUAGUGGUCAUGCAUGUCACUUAUAAUUGACGAAACGUCGUGCGCAGUGAGAGUUAAUAAUUUUUGCAACACGCGAUAAUUUUCAUUAUAACCGCGGCUUUUGGAUUACUUGUUCAUCUGCUCAAUCUGAGCUAAAAAACAAUGCGAUAUAUUUUACAAGAGCAUCCAGUUAGUUUUCUCAACACGAUAAAUAUUCGCUUGAAACUGUAUCUUUAGCUCCAAGGAUGAUUCAUAGUUUUGAAAGUGAGAAUAAACGAUAAAUUCCAAAGAAUAAUUGUCUCGCGGUAACUCGCGUGUAAUUAAUUACUUUGUCUUGCUAUCUUGUUGCAUUUUGUGAAAGCUUUCAUAAAGUCAAUAAUAAUGAAAUCGCGCGGAAGAGUUUCUUGCUCUCUAUGCAACAUUAUACGAUGAUAUAACAUUAUAAUAAAUAAUGUCUUUUGAUUUUAGUAAUACAUUUUUUCACAAGAUCUUUUAUUAAUGAGUAUGAUGUGUCGAUGAUAUCGAUACACAUAAAUAAUUACAGGUUUAAGAAAUAUUUAUUGAAACUUGCGCCCGUGUCUGAGAUAUCAACGCAGUUUAAUUCUGAGCAAUUCUGACUAUAUUUUUAUUGCAAACUAAUUUUCACAUAAAAAUUAACACAGUCACCUCGACGUUUCUAUUUGCAUAAAGUAGAUUUUUUUACAUCGAAAUUUCUCAUGCAACUUCUUUAUACCUUGUAGUAUCGCAGAUUCCACAUUGUGGAGUUACAUAUGAAAUAUUUUGUUAUAUUUUAUAACAAUGUUGAGACGUUUAGAUUGAACGGCGUAUCAGUGCGACUCGUUGCACGACAAUAUUCGGAAAUCAAAAAAAUGGAGUCUUCCAAAAAAAAAAACAAGAAUACUCGUGUAUCUUGCAACGACGAGAACGACUUUACGUUGAUUCUAUCGCCCGCCUUAUAACUCGACACACGUUGAAAUUUUCGUACGUGAUGAGCAUGAUAGAGAAGCAUUAUUCUUUUAUAUAUAGUUCACACUGUAAAUACUCUUUUCUCUAUACGAUGUAAAUAUUUUCCUCUUGAGAUAUUAAACGAUAUUUAUUGGAAAUGAGUGAAUCUCAGUGAGAGAGAGGGAGAGAAAGAGAGUGAGAGAGAGAGAGAGAGAGAGAGAGAGAGAGAGAGAGAGAGAAAGGAGAGCACUUUAGUGAGUUGAUUAAUUUCAUAAGGUAUUAUACGAAACGUGAUAAGUAGUAGUCGGCACCGAAUCUUGUGAUCGGCUUUCGACUUGCUGCUGUCCGCUACGUCAAUUUUCUUCUCUUCUAUUUAGUUCGUCAAGAUAUCGAACGACUAUAUUACGACAAACUUUAGAAAUGGUGUCCUUAAGAGACCAACAGUCAGCAAUAUAUACGCGUAUACGCGUAUUGUUACGAAAGUGGAACGAAAACAUUGAGUUGGGUCGAUUGACCUUCACAUAACGUGUCGUACUGUGACAGCGUGAUGACAGGUGACGGCCGGAGUGAGUACCGCUCUUCGAAAAUCUUCGUCAUUCGUUGCGGGAGAACGCGACGUGUGAAUGUCGAUUAUAUAUGUAUUUCCACGGGGAUCGCCCUUCUUUCGGCAGUUUCGGCGAUUUCUUUCUCUUUUCGAAGAGGGGGAAGGAGAAGAAUAUUUUGUGAGUUUUGUGUUCAUCUCUCCGACGAAAGACGGCUUUUCUCGAAGACCGGAUUUGCUUCGGCUUUUAGCGCAUACGUAGCUUACAAUUAGUAGCAAUAUAUCUCUUACGUGAUAAUUGAAAAGCUCGACCUUAUCAUAAGUAUCAUUAGCUCUAUGCGAGACAUAUAAUCUGUUAUCAAUCAACCACAGUCUCCAGCUAUCCAGUCUCUAUCUCUUUCAUAUAAUUAUGUCAUUAAUUAUUAUGAUCAUUAUUAUUAUUGUUCGACGAUCGUCGUCGCACGUAUACGAUAUCGCUUCAAUAUCAAUUCGGAAAAAUCGUUUCGCCGAAACGAAGAAACUUGGACGAAGGCGUUGAAGAGCUGCGGUAUCGGAGCAAUCGCGACGAUCGUACACGUACACCCGACGUAGUUAGUUAUUUAUUUAAUUAUUUAUUUAUUCGUUUAUGUGUGGGAGACACGAAUUUAUUCCAUAGCGUAAGUCCCUGCAAUCGUGUAGGGAGAUAAAGUUGAGAUUGAUAUAUUUCUGUAUUUUCCCGUAUUUCUUUCGGAGAGGCUUUGAUGUAGCGCCCAUUCUUUCGCUCAUUCUGUCCCACUGACAAUGAUUUCAUUAUUUUCUUUUCGCGAACUUCGCCACGUGUUUGCAACAAUGCGACCGAUGUAAAAGUAACGGAGCACGGAGUAUUGAUCCGCAUGGUACUAACUACACUCGUCUUAUUUCGAAUCCUCUUACUCGUUCGAGACGUCUCUUAAGUAAUGUAUCUUCACCAAGCCGAUAAACGCUGAUCAAACGACUAAGAAAAAUGAUAAGAUCAUUGCCAGUAGAAGAAGACCCAAAUUCUGCAACGCGUACACAUCCACACGUACACACAACUAGAAUAGAAUUAGCUAGCUAGACAGCUGACUAGUAAUGAUCUAGUAAUCACGUAAAUAAUUUGGUUAUCCGUAUAUAUAGAUGGGUAAGCGCAAAAGACGGUAAUGAGACUUAGAUUUAAGCGGCUAGUAGAAUAAUAAUAGGAGGCAAACACCGUGCAAGAGAGAAAGAGAAAGACAGAAUUGUGAGAAAGAGAAUAAUUACAACGUAUUUACUGCAGGUAAACACUGGUUAUUGUACCUGUUGUUGUUGAAAUCAUUAAAAAUACUCUUAUUCCAUGCUAA